AAAUGUAUCUUUCAACUCACGGUCCUGCAGCGAAUUUUUCGACUCGACACGAGGCAGAUCCUAGCUAAAAAUGACAAAGCCAAAAACCAAACCAUGCCCUUCCUGUCAGGCUCCAAACACCUGCAACAGGAAGACAUGCAGUGGAUGCCUGGGCAGCCUGAACGUAAAGGAGUGAUUGAAAAAAAACAAGAACAGUUUAAAAACAGUAACUGGGCUGCCUCUGUUAAAAACAACAGAAAUGCGAGCAGGAUGGUUAAUUCAGCCCAGUUGUCAGUGUCCUUAUCAGGUAGCCUAUCCUAGCUGUCUUUGGGUGAUACUCAUGGUACACCCUAGAUAAGAAGGCAGAUCACCACGGGGUACACAGAGACAAACAAGAUGGUGAGGAUGAGGAUAGUUAACAGUCACCAGCUAUUCUAUUCUAUUCUACUCUACUCUAUUCUGUUCUGUUCUAUUCUAUUCUAUUAUUCAGCCAAGGUUCAGACCAGUAACCUUCUUGCUGUGAGGUGACAGCUGCCCUACAUGUCCUGUUGCUAACAUAAAAUAGUGUUAUAUAUGCCUUAUUACCUCCCCAUGUGGCGUUCACAUCACCAAAGCUAGCCAUACUGAACCUCUGGUGUUACCCACCUGAACAAUUUUGUAUGUGUGUGUGUGUAUAGUAUGGUCUUUCACACUCAUGUAUAUACAAAUGUAAUUUUAAAAAUCUUCACGAAAACCAGACCUGAUAAUUCUCUUCGAGACUUUCUAGUAUAACAAAUGUUAUAAUGUUACCAAUAUGAACACCAAGAUUCUUAAAUAACUUAUAUACUUCUUAAGAGGUUACCUGAUUACCUCCCUGAGGUAGUUAGCAUCACCAUUGUACAAAACUCCUAAGUCACAGUACUAGCUUGAAGUGUCAAAUGUUAUGCACUACAAAGUCAGGAAAGUAGUGUCAUCAGAGGAAAAAAGUCAUUAGCUAUCUGGAUUUAUAGUCACACUCAUUAAUUUAUUAAUGUACAAUGUAGAAAAGCACUACAGAUGUCACACUACCCUAGAGGGCACUUGUACUGAAUGAUUUGAGUCAGUGAGUGUGUGAGAUGACAUAUUUGAUGCCAAUAUUCACAAGUUGUAACUUUAGUAAAAACGUAACUGAAAACAUGCAAAUCACUACUUAUGUGUUUAUGUGUACUGUACAUUUUUUCAACCCAUUUUAAUGAAUAUUUAAUAUUUAAAAUUUUGCAGAAUUACAAGCUUCACCUCCUGCUAAAAGUUCUACACCAGCAGCUGGAUCAUCCUCUGCUGACAGUGUCGAUGCUGGACCAGUCCCAGACCCAGAGGCUCUAAACGAGGAAUUUAUUCUUCAUUUAGAGCCUGUACCAACAUCUUCCCUCUGUCAGCCUCCUGCAUCCUCCUCUUCAUC
Maylandia zebra (zebra mbuna) is the source of this 1396-nucleotide non-coding RNA. Lineage: Eukaryota; Metazoa; Chordata; Actinopteri; Cichliformes; Cichlidae. The record is from RefSeq and is a predicted model, not a curated record.